AAAUCCCCGAGUUAGCCUGGGGAACGGCAUUUGAAACUGGAAAGUUAGGAAUCUUUUAGAGGGGGGUAGAAUUCCAGGUGUAACGGUGAAAUGCGUAGAGAUCUGGAGGGAAACCGGUGGCGAAGGCGGCCCCUUGGACAAAAGACUGACGAUCAGGUGCGAAACGCGUGGGGAGCAAACAGGGAUUAGAUACCCCUGGUAGUCCACGCCGUAAACGGUGUCGACUUGGAGGUUGUGCCCUUGAGGCGUGGCUUCCGGAGCUAACGCGUUAAGUCGACCGCCUGGGGAGUACGGCCGCAAGGUUAAAACUCAAAUGAAUUGACGGGGGCCCGCACAAGCGGUGGAGCAUGUGGUUUAAUUCGAUGCAACGCGAAGAACCUUACCUGGCCUUGACAUCCACGGAAUUCGGCAGAGAUGCCUUAGUGCCUUCGGGAACCGUGAGACAGGUGCUGCAUGGCUGUCGUCAGCUCGUGUUGUGAAAUGUUGGGUUAAGUCCCGCAACGAGCGCAACCCUUAUCCUUUGUUGCCAGCGCGUGAUGCGGGAACUCAAAGGAGACUGCCGGUGACAAACCGGAGGAAGGUGGGGAUGACGUCAAGUCAUCAUGGCCCUUACGGCCAGGGCUACACACGUGCUACAAUGGCGCAUACAAAGAGAAGCGACCUCGCGAGAGCAAGCGGACCUCAUAAAGUGCGUCGUAGUCCGGAUCGGAGUCUGCAACUCGACUCCGUGAAGUCGGAAUCGCUAGUAAUCGUAGAUCAGAACGCUACGGUGAAUACGUUCCCGGGCCUUGUACACACCGCCCGUCACACCAUGGGAGUGGGUUGCAAAAGAAGUAGGUAGCUUAACCUCCGGGAGGGCGCUUACCACUUUGUGAUUCAUGACUGGGGUGAAGUCGUAACAAGGUAACC
RNAcentral lists this ribosomal RNA (909 nucleotides) under uncultured Erwinia sp. RNAcentral describes it as "bacterial SSU rRNA". It matches the Rfam family "Bacterial small subunit ribosomal RNA", at positions 597 to 1501 of the family's 1533-position model. The record is from RNAcentral. Lineage: Bacteria; Pseudomonadati; Pseudomonadota; Gammaproteobacteria; Enterobacterales; Erwiniaceae.